RNAcentral lists this small RNA (562 nucleotides) under Pongo abelii (Sumatran orangutan). RNAcentral describes it as "processed transcript". The record is from RNAcentral. Lineage: Eukaryota; Metazoa; Chordata; Mammalia; Primates; Hominidae.
UGGUUUGGUGCGAUCGCGUGAGACGCGUCAGGUGCUUGAUUUCCCUGAGUCCCGGUGCCUCAGCUGCCCAGUGCCCACGUUCGUAAGAAGGCAACAAGUUCUUCUCCUCUACAGAAGGAUUUUGCAAACAAUUCGGCAAGUUCCAAAUGAUUCUGAUCGCAAAUACCUGAAAGAUUGGGCAAGAGAAGAAUUCAAAAGAAACAAAAGUGCCACCGAAGAGGUGAGAACAAAAUCAUGGAUACAAUCCGGAUGAUGAUUACUCAAGGCAAUAUGCAGCUCAAGGAGUUAGAAAAAACACUUGCUUUAGCAAAAUCUUAACUAUAGCAUUAUUCUGAAGGAUUUUCAAAGUCUCCAUGUGUUUUGUUGCAUUUAGGAUUAACAAUGGACAGCACAAAGCCCAGUCUUACUAUUUAUAUGUACAGUAUUUGGUGAUAGAGAGCAAAGGAAAAACACAUCAGAACAGUUGCCUUAACUGAAAAACAUACCCUGCAUUUUGAAAAUGUUUAUGGAUGUCUCAGCAGUUUUUAAAAGAAGAAAAAAACCACUAACAAAUGGUCAGUAG